UGGGAUAUGGCCAAGCGGAUAAGGCACCGGCCUUUGACGCCGGCACCGUUGGUUCGAAUCCAACUAUCCCAACCA
This 75-nucleotide transfer RNA is filed under the name Bacillota bacterium. RNAcentral's name for it is "tRNA-Gln". It matches the Rfam family "tRNA". From Rfam's summary of the family: Transfer RNA (tRNA) molecules are approximately 80 nucleotides in length. Their secondary structure includes four short double-helical elements and three loops (D, anti-codon, and T loops). Lineage: Bacteria; Bacillati; Bacillota. The record is from RNAcentral. RNAcentral also lists the same sequence under 1 other name.